GACGAACGCUGGCGGCGUGCUUAACACAUGCAAGUCGAACGGUAAGGCCCUUCGGGGUACACGAGUGGCGAACGGGUGAGUAACACGUGGGUGAUCUGCCCUGCACUUCGGGAUAAGCCUGGGAAACUGGGUCUAAUACCGGAUAGGACUCCUGCCUGCAUGGGUGGGGGUGGAAAGCUUUUGCGGUGUGGAUGGGCCCGCGGCCUAUCAGCUUGUUGGGGGGGUGAUGGCCUACCAAGGCGACGACGGGUAGCCGGCCUGAGAGGGUGACCGGCCACACUGGGACUGAGAUACGGCCCAGACUCCUACGGGAGGCAGCAGUGGGGAAUAUUGCACAAUGGGCGCAAGCCUGAUGCAGCGACGCCGCGUGAGGGAUGACGGCCUUCGGGUUGUAAACCUCUUUCAGCACAGACGAAGCGCAAGUGACGGUAUGUGCAGAAGAAGGACCGGCCAACUACGUGCCAGCCGCCGCAGUAA
RNAcentral lists this ribosomal RNA (477 nucleotides) under uncultured bacterium. RNAcentral describes it as "partial 16S ribosomal RNA". It matches the Rfam family "Bacterial small subunit ribosomal RNA", at positions 28 to 523 of the family's 1533-position model. The record is from RNAcentral.